CGGCAGCGGGGUAGGAUGGCGCUAAAGCGGAUCCAGAAGGAAUUAACCGACUUGCAGAGGGAUCCUCCUGCCCAGUGUUCUGCAGGACCUGUCGGUGAUGACUAAUGACAGUCCUUACCAAGGAGGUGUUUUCUUCCUGACCAUCCACUUUCCUACAGAUUACCCGUUCAAGCCCCCAAAGGUUGCUUUCACAACCAAAAUUUAUCACCCUAAUAUCAACAGCAAUGGCAGCAUCUGCCUCGAUAUCCUGCGGUCUCAGUGGUCUCCAGCGUUGACUGUGUCAAAAGUUCUCUUGUCCAUCUGCUCACUGCUCUGCGACCCCAACCCCGAUGACCCCCUGGUGCCAGAGAUAGCCCACACCUACAAGGCCGACAGAGAGAAGUACAACAGACUAGCAAGAGAGUGGACACAAAAAUAUGCUAUGUAAGUGCCUUGGAGGUUUUACAUGAGACACUGUCCAAGAGAAGCUGGCAGAGAGGUCUUCCCUUAAAACUUUGGGCUGUUGGCUGAGCCAUUCAAAGAGUAUCAUCUGUUCUUCAAACAAAUGUUGGUCACCCACUCUCUCCAGCUGCAGCAUGUUGGUGCCAUUUUCAGCAAUUGUGGCUUUGACAGUGCCACCUCUUUGAUGCCAAAUCAGCAACCAUUGUUGUUAUGAUCUGCAGUCUUCCUGGUGACACUGGAAUCUCUCUCUCUGCCGCCUCAGUUUGUCUGCUGGUCUCUUGGGGGGCCAGGCCCUGCACGUCUCUCCUACCCGGCCUCAAAUGGUGCUGCUGCCCAUGAUGGUACCACACCAGGGCCUCAGCCUGGCCCCUCACCACAUACCCUUUGCCUUUUAGAACUCAGUGCCAUCCUGGGUGCCCAGGGAAGAGCAGGCUUUGUUCGCACCUCAUCUGCUGCAGAACCACAUCCUGAGGAGUCUCAGCUUAUCCUGGAGGGAAUUGGGAACAGUGUCACUGGGAAGUGAAGGCCUAGACCUGCGGCUUCCACCAGUCUCCUCCUGCAGUGCCACGUGCUGGCAUUUCUCGCCUCACACCAAGAAGCAGCAAGUGGAAAAUUUCAGGAUACAAAGCACAUAACACCCCAUAAGAGAUGAUUAUGUUUUUAGAAGCAAGAGCAAAAUUAUGAAACCUCUAGAGAUUUGGGUCAUGUUACUCCAUUUGAUGAGGAUUCUCACUACCGCCCGCUCCUCCCAUAGGAGCCUACACUAAGUCCAAGUGUGAGCCAUUCACAGACUAGAACACAAGGAGGGAGAGAGACUCUUAAAUGUAAAUAAAAAUGCAAUUCACUCACAACUCUAAA
RNAcentral lists this small RNA (1299 nucleotides) under Pan troglodytes (chimpanzee). RNAcentral's name for it is "processed transcript". The record is from RNAcentral. Lineage: Eukaryota; Metazoa; Chordata; Mammalia; Primates; Hominidae.